AUCCUUUUGUAGCUCUUAAAAGUGAUGAUUGGGUUUUCACGUGCAUGCGUGAUAUGCCUCUCGCAAAUCUUGUUAUGACAUCAGCACAUGACCCGUCUGACA
This is a small nucleolar RNA of Nycticebus coucang (slow loris), 102 nucleotides long. RefSeq annotates it as small nucleolar RNA U13. The record is from RefSeq and is a predicted model, not a curated record. NCBI's taxonomy places the organism in Eukaryota, Metazoa, Chordata, Mammalia, Primates, Lorisidae. The transcript has a single exon.